Molecule: long non-coding RNA, 7759 nt
Organism: Homo sapiens (human)
Lineage: Eukaryota; Metazoa; Chordata; Mammalia; Primates; Hominidae
Exons: 2
Source: RefSeq, a predicted model, not a curated record
UACAUGUCUAUAUGUGUGUUAACAUGUGCAUGUAUGUGUGCACAUGCCUAUGUGUACACACGUACAAUGUGUGCAUGCAUGUACGCACCUAUAUAAGCAUGUGUGUGCCUGUCUGUAUGUGUACAUCUCUGUGUACACAUACAUGUGUGUAUAGGCAUGUAUGCAUGUGUGUGGCUGCCUGUACGUGUACGUCUGCAUGUGUCCACAUAUGUGUGUAUAGGCAUGUAUACAUGUGCAUGUGGUUUGGAACAGGGAGCUACAGCAUGACAGGCAUGGCAUUGUUCAGAGAAGAGAAGUGAGAGAAAGCUCCUGAACUCCUCCUCAGGAAGGCAUCAGGAAGCGCGGCCUCUGCCUAUCGGGAUCUCACCACAGGGCUCUCCUCCCGACCCACUCCGCUGUGAGUAGAAGGGGGACAUUGUCCCCACCAAGCCCCUGCAUCCAGUUCUUUCCCAGCUGCUUGCCUUUUUCUCUGCAGGCUCCUGUAGGAUGUACAGAGCCUCUUCAAGGGUAGUCCCUGUGACUUCCACCAUGGGGUUGAGAGUGCAGACUGAGUUUUAUGGAAAUAUCUCACGUGGUUCCACUUUCUCUGUUGGGGCCACUGAGCAAUGCAUUCCUUCUGGGCCCGUGUGGCCUUAUUUUUCUGUUUUUUUCUUCACGCCCUAUUGUUGAAGGUUCUAUGGUUUCAUAUGCUUUAUCCCGAUAGCAUGUUGCCCCCUCAUAGCAGCUGGUUAUUUGGCCCUGAUGAGGUGGAGCUGGGGUUCCCGUUCCGGCUCCAGCCCUGGGCUGUUUGAAAUUCACCCCGCCCUGGCUCUUGAUUUCCUCUCCCUCUGGUUUCUAGUAAGGGGAGCGCCAGUCCAGUCUGAGCUCCACUGUCACUGCCGUCACCUUCUGAUGGAAACCUGCUAGUUGUAAAGUCACCUCCCUCCAUGCUCCAUGGGAAUGCUUGACGACUCCAGAUAUCCUAUAAUUAACUGCAGGGCUUGACGGGGGACAGAGAAACUCCACCGCAUGUUUAUUUUUACAAAGAGGCAGCCGCACAGAGGUUGCUGAGCACACAUUUAUGCUGAAACACUCGCCUAGGCAGCCCUCUUCAUGGCCUGUAGGAUGACAGUGAGGGCACUGUUGUGUUCAGCAAUUGCCACAGGAAAUGACUUUAUGCAAAUAAUCCCAGGGGAGAUGCUGUAGGCUCUGAGAAAGCCGUAAUUACAGCUUCCACCCGGGCAUUUUCAGUGAUCAAGUCUCUGGAAUGUAAUCUUUCCAGGCCUUCUGGAACUGGGAGUGAUAAACAAUCAUUUGGGAUAAUUGCCCGAGAGCAGCCUCCACUCUCCCAGAGGCCGUGGGGCAGAAAUUCCAAGUCCCUGCCUCUGAGAAGGGGGUCCUUUGGCCACCUCCCUCCGCGGUCCUGGCCAACAUGUCUGCAUCUCUGAAAUGGAGCUUUCCUCUCUCCUGGGCUGUUCGGAAACCGCCUUCUGGGAUAGACAUCUCCAAGGAAGAGCUGUGUCUACUUUGUUUCUUCCCCGCCUCUCACACCCGGUUCAAUGUGAUACCACAAAUAUGGCGAGCUGUUUGAAAUAAUUUGCAGAACCCAACACUGAAGACAAGCUCCAACCUUCCAGGGUAUAUUUUGAGUAUUUUAGCACGAGUGUCAAGAUUUUAUGCGUUACAGUAUGCUCAUGAUAUCUUCCCUGCGGUUUAUUUUGGGCGAGAUAAAAUCUGUAGCAAUUAGUUUCUCACAAGUCUAUUUUAUGCAGAAGAAUCUGUUAUUUCCUAGGCGUGUGAUUUCUUUGGUUUUACCUUUACCAUGAGUGUCUUCCUUCCCAGAUCUCUGCUCCCCCUUGGGGUUGGCAGUUGUCCUUCGCUUCUGCCUUCUGGGCUGUGCUCCGUCCCUUAAAUGCUGUUUGGGAAGACGUCAAGUGCAAAUGAGGAAGCUGCUGUAGGUAUCCCUGCGAUCGAAGGAAAUAAAAAUUCUGUCUCUCUGGAAUUAGGAAGAGCAUGCAGAACGUUGAAAGGGUUUAAGAUGGACUAAGGUGUGUGUGAAAAUGCCUCUUUUCAAAAAACCAGAAAAGAGAGCCUGCACUAAUUACAUGAUUGUGCUUUCUUUUUAAAAAAGUUUCCAAUUUUACUUAAAUGGGAGAGAAACCACAGCGGAUGAGGCACUCCAGGCCUUUUUCUUUUUUUCAGCAGUGGAGCAGCAGAAAUCAUGGAUCACAAGUGUCUCUGUAAUCAGGCUGCACCGAGACAUUUCUCGGCAUUUCUGAUGUUUCAACCCUACCCCACCUGCCAGGAGGAGGCUCCAGCCCGCCAGGAGGGCAGGAGGCCAUUGCUGCUGCCACUCCAGAACCUCAUAAGGGUUUAUUGUCUGCCCACAGUGUAUUUGUCAAGGUGGGCACCUUGCGUCGUGGGGCACUCUGUUUUUUUUUCUCUCUCUUUCUUUAUAUAUAUGCAUACACAGACACACACACACAAACACACACACACACACGGUCAUUGCAGUUUACAAAGAAAAGAAAAGAAAAAAAAGAAGAAAAGAAAAGAAAAAAGGCAAACCAAUUCCCCUCUGUCUGGGACCCAGAUCAGAGCCAGCCUGCCAUGACCAGUCUGGAAGAAGGUGGCAGAGAGGUGGGGCAGCUUCCCGAGGCCUGGGAGGUGCGUCUCCAUGGCAACUGCGGGGCUUUCCCAGAUGAUGUCACACAUCACACAGGAUUCCUGAGAUCCACCUGGAGAUUGGCUGGUGAAGGAUCACUGCCUUUUAUCUUGUUCCAACUCUUUAUUUGCGCUAUAGACAGGCACUGUUUCUUACUUUAGCUCCGAGAGCAGUUUCUUCUUGAUACCUAAACUGCUGGGCUGACCCCUUGUAUCCUAGAUUCUUUACAAGGGGGAAAAAUAUGUUUUUUAAACAAACGUGUUACCAGGGUGAAGUCUGAGGAGCUGGAAGGGAGGGAGACAGGGGCUUUGCUGUCCUGAAGUGAUGCCUUUGCUGUGGCGUGACAGCUCAGACUGGAGCCGGGCCCCAGGGAAGGGACUAAGUAGGUGUCUGUUGCUUUUCCAGCUCUCCUACUAGCCGAUCAGCUCUUCUCCCAGGUGGACCUCCUGAUCCUCCGGAACCUCCUGGGUCCUGUCCCAGCAGCUGCAAUUUGCAGAAGAGGAGAUUGGUCAGGAGGGAGAUGCCGUGGCCUCACUAGCAGCUGCAGGCUCUUUGCCUGUUUGUGGUGUAAAUGUUUGAGUCUCCCCCUAAUUCACAUGCUGAAAUUCUCACCCCCAAGGUGAUGGUGUUAGGAGGUGGGGGCUUUAGGAUAUGAUGAACUCAUAAAGGUGGACCCCCCAUGAAUGGGAUUCGAGCCCUUUUGAAAGAGAUCCUGGAGAGCUCCCUCACUCCUUCCUCACUCCUUCCACCAUGUGAGGACACAGUGAGAAGCCGCCAUCUAUGACCCAGGAAGCAGAUACUCACCAGAUACCAGAUCUGCCAGAACCUUGAUCUGGGACUUCUGACCUUUAACACUGUGAGAAGUGACUGUGCUGUUUGAAAGUCACAGUCUAUGGUGACAGAACGCCACAGGGGACUCAGAUAUGGCCCCCAUGCUUGCUACAGGAAGCCUGCGGUGGAGCCCUCUUCCCUCCUUGAAGUCUGGAUAUGACUGAAAAACUGUGGGUUCAAGUGUAAACAGGCUUGUUCUGUGAAGAUGGACCUUUAUUCUGGUAGAUUUCAGCGUGUCUUGCUUGUAUUCUCAAUUGUGACUUAAGAUGGGUGUCGCUGGCCCAGGGUGAGACAACGGGAACUGGCAUGGAUGCGGCUGGAGGGUACGCACCCUUCUUAAGUGGUAACAGGUGAUGUUCAUGGAGUGUACAUUCUGAGCCAAGCAUUAUUUUUUUUAAUUAAUUCUCUUUAUAAGUCUAUGAGAAAAGUGUUCUUAUUAGCCCCAUUUUAAAGAUGCAGAGACGGAGACACCGGGAAGUUGCAUGAUCUGAGUGCCUUAUGGCUGGUGCUGCAAGAGCUAGGAGAGGAGCCAGGAGGUCCCCGUCCAGUGCCUGCACCUACUGCCAAGCUGUCCUCCCUGCCAGGUCACCACCUGAGAGCAGAAGCUGAGAGAAACUUGCUCUCUGCCCUGGUGGAGGCUGCAGGCCCUAGGAGGGAGGUUGACUCCUUGCCCCACCAGCUCCAUGAUUCUGUUUUGUACGGGCCCCACAUAGCACGUCCAUCUGCCCUGGGCUGCGAGAAGAGGCACCAGAACUUUGCAGUCAAUCAGUUCCAAUAGCUGACUAAGACUGAAUUGUGUUCAUGACCAGCACUACUUGAAGCAAUAUAGAAGAUGUACUUUGAGUCAAUCAGGGAACUCUGCAGGCAACACUCAUGUAGAAAAACAGAAAAAAAAAUCAAGGUAGAAGAAUACAAAGCAACUAAAACGGCACUCAUGCAGAAGCCAAUGCCAGGCAUUCUCCAUUGCUGAUAGAUUUAAGUUGCUGGCACGAGGCUAGAAGAAAAGGCAAAAUGAAGCAUUUAAAUAAUUCAAUUUUUCACAAAAGUACAGGUUAAUUCCACAUCUUGGCGAUUGUGAUCAGUGCUGCAUAAAUAUGGGGUGCAGGUGUCUCUUUGGCACACUGAUUUCCUUUCCUUGGGGUGCAUACUCAGAAGUGGGAUUGCUGGAUCAGAGUUCUACUUUUAGUUUCUUGAGGAACCUCCAUACUGUUUUUCACAGUGGCUGUUCUAGCUUACAUUUCUAUCAACAGUGUACAAGAGUUUUCUUUUCUUGGCAUCUUUGCCAGCAUUGAUUUUUUCGUCCUUUUGAUAAUAGCUGUUUUAACUGGGGUGAGAUGGUAUCUCAUUGUGCUUUUGAUUUGUAUUUGAUGAUUAGUGAUGUUGAACAUUUUAAAUAUAUUCGUAUUUGCCAUGUGUAUGUCUCCUUUUGAGAAAUACUUAUUUUAUCAUAGCACUAUUCACAAUAGCCAAGACGUGGAAUCAACCUAAGUGUCCAUCAACAGAUGAAUGGAUAAAGAAAAUGUGGUGCAUAUACGCAGUGGAAUACUAUUCAGCCAUAAAAGGAAGGGAAUCUUGUCAUUUGCGGUAGUGAGGAUGGAACUGAAGGACCUAUGCUAAGUGAAAUAAGCCAGGCUCAGAAAGACGGGUCAUGCAUGUUCUCACUCAUAUGUAGACUCUAAAGAAGUUGACCUCAUGAAGGCAGAGCAUAGAUGAUGGUAACUGAAGGCUGGGAAGGGUGGAGAGAUAAGGAGAGGUUGGUUAAUGGGUACAUACAGUUAGAUGAAGAAAUAGGUUCUAGUGUUUGAUGAUACAAUAGGAUGACUAUAGUUAGCAAUAAUUUAUUGUAUAUUUCAAAAUAGCUAGAAGAGAUUUGAAAUUGAUAUGGUUUGGCUGUGUCCCACCCAAAUCUCAUCUGGAAUUAUAGCUUCCAUAAUUCCAAUGUGUUGUGGGAGGGACCCAGUGGGAGAUAAUUGAAUCAUGGGAGUGGUUUCCCCCAUACUGUUCUUGUGGUAGUGAACAAGUCUCGUGAGAUCUGAUGGCUUUAUAAGGGGAAACCCUUUUCACUUGGUUUUCAAUUCUCUCUUGUCUGCCACCAUGUAAGACAUGCCUUUCACUUUCCACCAUGAUUGUGAGGCCUCCUCAACCAUGUGGAACUGUGAGUCCAUUAAACCUCUUUCUCUUUAUAAAUUACCUAGUCUCAGGUAUGUCUUUAUCAGCAGCAUGAAAACAGACUAAUACAGAAGUUCUCUCAACACAAAGAAAUGACAAAUGUUUGCAGUGAUGGAUAUCCUAAUUACCCUCGUUUACCAUUACACAUUGUAUGUGUGUAUCGAAAUAUCACAGGUUCCCCAUAAAUAUGUACCAUUGUUUUGUAUCAGUAAAGUGGAAGAAAACAUUGAAAAAUAAUGACAAAAAGUGACAAAUGUUUGCAGUGAUGGAUGUCCUAAUUACUCUAUUUGACCAUUACACAUUGUACGUAUGUAUCGAAAUAUCAUAGGUUCCCCAUAAAUAGGUACCAUUAUUAUGUAUCAAUAAAAAGGAAGAAAACAUUGAAAAAUACAGAUUAAAUUUUUGAAUGAAACUUUAUUUUCUGUUGUUUUUACCUCCCCCAAUCCCCACGACCAGCUCUGAAGUAUUCAGACAAAAUUCCCUCUUGAGUAUUAUUAAUAAGGAAGAUACUGGGUGAUGAGCAGAUGACAAACCUCCUCUGAUUGCCCGUCCUGGGAAACCUUUCUGCGGCAUGUCGAAAUGCACCCCUCCAUGUAAGUCAAGAGCCCAACACUAAUGACAAGGCAGUACAAGCUCCUCCAUCUGGGGUCAGGCAGAUAAAGUCCGAGUUCACAGUUUGUUUCUUUUAUGCAGUGAAGAACAGAAGAAUGAAAUGCAUAUCAUUUGUACAAUUCCCCAGCAGUAUUAUUUCUCAGAAUCAGGCCUUGAGAUACAUUGAAAGAACAAAAACUGUAAAGUUAUGGUCUCAGUAAUGUUGUAUAAGUGUAUCAGCUGGCCGUGACUGACAUCCCUGCAUGAAAUGUAUGGAUCCUUCCAAGACUCCGAUAUAAAUGGGAACCACCUCUCGCUUUUAUGUGGAGGUGGGUGCUAGAAUGCUGCAGGCAGCACCACUAAGGCCAAGAGACUCUGUCUUGGAAGCUAAUCUCCCAUGUUGGCUUUGAUGAACCCCAGUUCCAGGAAGGCCUCCAAGAUUUUCAGUUUAUCGAUUGUUCCUUGUGUUAGAGCAGGCACUUAGCAUAAAUCCUGCCUGUAGGUCAAACAACUGUGAUGUUGUCAUACUUCAGUUGUCCUGCAUGUCUCUUCUGAACCACCCUUUCCCUGGUACAUGAGCUCCAGGUCUGGGGCUAAUGGCGGGGAUCCAUUCUCUUGUCUAGUCCCCUAAGACACAGACGUGGCUUCUGUUUGUAAGACACUGUUAAAUGUUUCUUUUUAAGAGACUGGAUUUGCCAGCCUCUUUCUUUGGCCUCUCAGCCUCCUUGGACUUUGGGGACAGGUUUGCAUAGACUUGCCCACUGUGAAACAGAAGGUAGGUGUUGAUCACUAUAACCCUCAUGCAAAUAAUUGCAAAUAAUUGGCUCGUUUAAGCCCCAAGUUCUACGUUAUUGGCCGUAAAAAUUGAAUGGUGAAGUUUAACCAGUUGGUUAUGAAUGUAGUUUUUUAUUUCAAGGCAAUUUACCUAUUUAAGCCUCAAAUGCUUCAUCAAUUAAUUGAGAAUGGUAUUAGUGCCUAUAUAUUUGAAGGUGUUGUAAGAUCCAAAUGAGAUAGUAUAUGUAAAGAAAUUAGUACUGUGAUAAAUCAGGUAUCGUAUAGAUACGUGAUACUGUAGAUAAAUCAUAUAGUUUAUGAUCCAUAAAUACUGUUAUAGGAGUAUGGCUGUGAUGAUUUAAUCUGGAACAUCUUAAAACUGCCCAUAGCAUUUGCUCAUGGAGGCAUUAACAUAUAUCAAAAUAAUCUCCAUCAUGAUCAACUUUUAAGCAGUGUAGUUUUCCAGUGAACCCUUGAUGAAGAUAAAUAAGUUACCAGAUAUACCCCUAAUUAAGCAAAUGAAUUUAUUUGCUCCACAGUGUUAUUAGAUAUAGACAACUUUAACACUGGUUUUAGAUCAUAAAGUAUUUUCUCCUGGCGACUGCAGAAAGAAGAGCUUUAUGUCUCUAUUCUGAAUUGAGGAGGUAUGGUUGGCAAGGGGUUGGGGAAGGCUUUCGUUUAUUCGGAAGUCUUUUUGAAUCCAGGCAAAGGUUAAAUGUUUCAUAUACACCAUAGAAUAAUAUGCAGCCA